This 325-nucleotide ribosomal RNA is filed under the name uncultured eukaryote. Its description in RNAcentral is "partial 18S ribosomal RNA". It matches the Rfam family "Eukaryotic small subunit ribosomal RNA", at positions 1470 to 1796 of the family's 1831-position model. The record is from RNAcentral.
CCCUUAGAUGUUCUGGGCUGCACGCGCGCUACACUGAAGCGUUCAACGAGUAUUCACCUUGCCCGGGAGGAUUGGCUAAUCUUUUUAAAAUGCAUCGUGAUGGGGAUAGAUUAUUGCAAUUAUUAAUCUUCAACGAGGAAUUCCUAGUAAGCGCGAGUCAUCAGCUCGUGCUGAUUACGUCCCUGCCCUUUGUACACACCGCCCGUCGCUCCUACCGAUUGAGUGCUCAGGUGAAUAAUUCGGACUGCAGCAGUGUUUGGAUCCCGAACGCUGCAGCGGAAAGUUUAGUGAACCUUAUCACUUAGAGGAAGGAGAAGUCGUAACA